GUUUGAUCCUGGCUCAGGAUGAACGCUGGCGGCGUGCCUAACACAUGCAAGUCGAACGGAGAUACGCGGAAUGCGGAUUCGUCCAAAUGAAACGUAUACUUAGUGGCGGACGGGUGAGUAACGCGUGGAUAACCUGCCUUUUCCGGGGGAUAGCAGUUGGAAACGACUGGUAAUACCGCAUAAGCUUCCUUUGAGGCAUCUCAGAGGGAGGAAAGAUUUAUCGGGAGAAGAUGGAUCCGCGUCUGAUUAGCCAGUUGGCGGGUAACGCCCACCAAAGCAACGAUCAGUAGCCGGCCUGAGAGGGUGAACGGCCACAUUGGGACUGAGGCACGGCCCAGACUCCUACGGGAGGCAGCAGUGGGGGAUAUUGCACAAUGGGGGGAACCCUGAUGCAGCGACGCCGCGUGAAGUGAAGAAGUAUUUCGGUAUGUAAAGCUCUAUCAGCAGGGAAGAAAGGCCCAUUAUGGGAGAUGACGGUACCUGACUAAGAAGCCCCGGCUAACUACGUGCCAGCAGCAGC
This 520-nucleotide ribosomal RNA is filed under the name uncultured bacterium. RNAcentral describes it as "bacterial SSU rRNA". It matches the Rfam family "Bacterial small subunit ribosomal RNA", at positions 11 to 518 of the family's 1533-position model. The record is from RNAcentral.